RNAcentral lists this ribosomal RNA (253 nucleotides) under uncultured bacterium. RNAcentral describes it as "partial 16S ribosomal RNA". It matches the Rfam family "Bacterial small subunit ribosomal RNA", at positions 524 to 776 of the family's 1533-position model. The record is from RNAcentral.
CACGUAGGAGGCAAGCGUUGUUCGGAAUUAUUGGGCGUAAAGGGCAUGUAGGCGGUUUUGUAAGCCUGGUGUGAAAUCCUGCAGCUUAACUGUAGAAUUGCAUCGGGUACUGCAAGACUUGAAUCACAGAGGGGAAACUAGAAUUCCAGGUGUAGGGGUGGAAUCUGUAGAUAUCUGGAAGAAUACCGGUGGCGAAGGCGGGUUUCUAGCUGAUGAUUGACGCUGAGGUGCGAAAGUGCGGGGAGCAAACAGG